Molecule: long non-coding RNA, 652 nt
Organism: Lates calcarifer (barramundi perch)
Lineage: Eukaryota; Metazoa; Chordata; Actinopteri; Centropomidae
Exons: 4
Source: RefSeq, a predicted model, not a curated record
GGAGUCUGGUAGUGAUAUAAAGAGACGUUAUCAGCCGGCUGUCUGUCUCUCUCCUCACCAGAUGUUAGCUGUGAUGUCGUUUGUUGAUUGAAGAAGAAGAAGAAGAAGAAGAAGAAGAAGAAGAAGAAGAAGAAGGGAGCUCUCUGCUAAAACCACCUGUGUGGAGGUUGACGGUUCAUGUAGUCCAAGCUAAAUGCUGCAGCUGGAUGCUAACUCGAGUUUCCCCCUGAGAGGCACUAGCCUGAGCGCUAACAGGUGGAACUCAAAGGCUCUCUGCCAGACGGUCAGAGCAGCUGACGGACUCUAAUGGAGUGGAUCAUCUCCUCAAACAGAGGCGAUCUUCGCCACCACCACCACCCUCCUCAUCUCGCGUGACGCCCAUUGGAACCGGAGACACCAGAUGUUAAAGGAGCAGUCCGUCUGCAGAAAAGCUGAGUGUUGAUUGGUCCACGCCGUGUCCCUCAGGAACGACUGGACUUCUUCCUGUGAUGUAAUGAAACACGGAAGGGUGCAGAGGACACGCCCACAAACAGCCAGACUCCCAGACAGACCAAUAAGGUUCGAGUGGGCGUGGCCAGAGAGCGGUGACGCAGGGGCUGGGCCACGGCAAGCCAACGGAGUAUGCUCAGCAGAGUGAGGAAGAGGAUGCUGA